This 497-nucleotide ribosomal RNA is filed under the name uncultured bacterium. RNAcentral's name for it is "partial 16S ribosomal RNA". It matches the Rfam family "Bacterial small subunit ribosomal RNA", at positions 28 to 507 of the family's 1533-position model. The record is from RNAcentral.
GAUGAACGCUGGCGGCGUGCCUAAUACAUGCAAGUCGAGCGAACGGACGAGAAGCUUGCUUUUCUGAUGUUAGCGGCGGACGGGUGAGUAACACGUGGAUAACCUACCUAUAAGACUGGGAUAACUUCAGGAAACCGGAGCUAAUACCGGAUAAUAUUUUGAACCGCAUGGUUCAAAAGUGAAAGACGGUCUUGCUGUCACUUAUAGGUGGAUCCGCGCUGCAUUAGCUAGUUGGUAAGGUAACGGCUUACCAAGGCAACGAUGCAUAGCCGACCUGAGAGGGUGAUCGGCCACACUGGAACUGAGACACGGUCCAGACUCCUACGGGAGGCAGCAGUAGGGAAUCUUCCGCAAUGGGCGAAAGCCUGACGGAGCAACGCCGCGUGAGUGAUGAAGGUCUUCGGAUCGUAAAACUCUGUUAUUAGGGAAGAACAUAUGUGUAAGUAACUGUGCACAUCUUGACGGUACCUAAUCAGAAAGCCACGGCUAACUACGUG